CUACCUCAUCUGGAACUACAGCAACACAAUUCUACAAGGCGUGUGCAUCUUCCUCUCUGUGUCCAGCUACGGGCAAUCAGACAUUUUCAGUUAACCUGGGUGUUCAAAGUGUUCUUGCCUCUGCCACGUGCUGCAACACGGAUAACUGCAACUCACAAAAUCUGACUGCUCCUACUCCUCAGUCAAGUAACGGCCUACUAUGUAACGUUUGUGUCGCCUCUCAGUGCAACACUACAUUACAGUGUCAGGGAGUGGAGGACCAAUGCUUUCAAUCAAUGAUGACGAACGGCACCAACAGUUUCCCAGCUUACGGCUGUGCAUCUGCAAACCUGUGUGCAGCUGCUUCAAGCCUGGGUUCUCUACCUUUCAUGCAGAUGGUUGGUACCAUAACAAGUGGACCAAACUGUACUUCAUGCACAACCACUGCUGCACCAACCACAACAACAGCUGCUCCAACCACAACAAAAGCUGCUUCAACCACAACUACUGCUGCACCAACAACAACUACUCCAACUACGACCAUUGCUGCCCCAACCACUACAACAACUGCUAAAACCGCUACAACAGCUGCUCUAACCACAACAACUGCUGCACCAACCACAACAAUAGUCGUAGAUACCAGAACAACUUCUGCACCAACCACAACAAAAGCUGCUUCAACCACAACUACUGCUGCACCAACAACAACUACUCCAACUACGACCAUUGCUGCCCCAACCACUACAACAACUGCUAAAACCACUACAACAGCUGCUCUAACCACAACAACUGCUGCACCAACCACAAUAAUAGUCGUAGAUACCAGAACAACUUCUGCACCAACAUCGACAACAGCUGGAGCACUUCAGUGCCAAAACUGCACAGAUGAGACGUGUUCAAGCACAGUAACAGUGAACUGUUCUUCAGAGACCAUGUGUGUUACAGCUACUAUUUUAGCUACCUCAUCUGGAACUACAGCAACACAAAUCUACAAGGCGUGUGCAUCUUCCUCUCUGUGUCCAGCUACGGGCAAUCAGACAUUUUCAGUUAACCUGGGUGUUCAAAGUGUUCUUGCCUCUGCCACGUGCUGCAACACGGAUAACUGCAACUCACAAAAUCUGACUGCUCCUACUCGUCAGUCAAGUAACGGCCUACUAUGUAACGUUUGUGUCGCCUCUCAGUGCAACACUACAUUACAGUGUCAGGGAGUGGAGGACCAAUGCUUUCAAUCAACGAUGACGAACGGCACCAACAGUUUCCCAGCUUACGGCUGUGCAUCUGCAAACCUGUGUGCAGCUGCUUCAAGCCUGGGUUCUCUACCUUUCAUGCAGAUGGCUGGUACCAUAACAAGUGGACCAAACUGUACUUCAUGCACAACCACUGCUGCACCAACCACAACAACAGCUGCUCCAACCACAACAAAAGCUGCUUCAACCACAACUACUGCUGCACCAACAACAACUACUCCAACUACGACCAUUGCUGCCCCAACCACUACAACAACUGCUAAAACCACUACAACAGCUGCUCUAACCACAACAACUGCUGCACCAACCACAACAAUAGUCGUAGAUACCAGAACAACUUCUGCACCAACAUCGACAACAGCUGGAGCACUUCAGUGCCAAAACUGCACAGAUGAGACGUGUUCAAGCACAGUAACAGUGAACUGUUCUUCAGAGACCAUGUGUGUUACAGCUACUAUUUUAGCUACCUCAUCUGGAACUACAGCAACACAAAUCUACAAGGCGUGUGCAUCUUCCUCUCUGUGUCCAGCUACGGGCAAUCAGACAUUUUCAGUUAACCUGGGUGUUCAAAGUGUUCUUGCCUCUGCCACGUGCUGCAACACGGAUAACUGCAACUCACAAAAUCUGCCUG
Long non-coding RNA from Oreochromis aureus, 1857 nucleotides. The record is from Ensembl. Lineage: Eukaryota; Metazoa; Chordata; Actinopteri; Cichliformes; Cichlidae.